GACAGAGGGUGCAAACGUUGUUCGGAAUUACUGGGCGUAAAGCGUGUGUAGGCGGCUAAAUAAGUCGGAUGUGAAAGCCCCAGGCUCAACCUGGGAAGUGCAUUCGAUACUGUGUAGCUUGAGUAUCGGAGAGGUUGGUGGAAUUCUCGGUGUAGAGGUGAAAUUCGUAGAUAUCGAGAGGAACAUCGGUGGCGAAGGCGGCCAACUGGACGAAUACUGACGCUGAGACACGAAAGCGUGGGGAGCAAACAGG
Molecule: ribosomal RNA, 253 nt
Filed under: uncultured bacterium
Lineage: Bacteria
Description: partial 16S ribosomal RNA
Rfam family: Bacterial small subunit ribosomal RNA
Source: RNAcentral